RNAcentral lists this transfer RNA (89 nucleotides) under Candidatus Methanomethylophilaceae archaeon. RNAcentral describes it as "tRNA-Ser". It matches the Rfam family "tRNA". Rfam says of the family: Transfer RNA (tRNA) molecules are approximately 80 nucleotides in length. The record is from RNAcentral. Lineage: Archaea; Methanobacteriati; Thermoplasmatota; Thermoplasmata; Methanomassiliicoccales; Methanomethylophilaceae.
GCAGAGGUGGCUGAGCCUGGACCAAGGCGCCGGUCUUGAAAACCGGUGGCGGUUACGCCUCGGGAGUUCGAAUCUCCCCCUCUGCGCCA